UACGUAGGGUGCGAGCGUUAAUCGGAAUUACUGGGCGUAAAGCGUGCGCAGGCGGUUCGUCGUGUCUGAUGUGAAAGCCCCGGGCUCAACCUGGGAAUGGCAUUGGAAACUGGCGGACUAGAGUGUGGCAGAGGGGGGUGGAAUUCCGCGUGUAGCAGUGAAAUGCGUAGAUAUAUGGAAGAACACCAAUAACGGCGAAGGCAGUUAACUAUUCUGUUACUGACAUUGAGGCACGAAAGCGUGGGGAGCAAAACGG
This 256-nucleotide ribosomal RNA is filed under the name uncultured bacterium. Its description in RNAcentral is "partial 16S ribosomal RNA". It matches the Rfam family "Bacterial small subunit ribosomal RNA", at positions 524 to 776 of the family's 1533-position model. The record is from RNAcentral.